RNAcentral lists this ribosomal RNA (408 nucleotides) under uncultured bacterium. Its description in RNAcentral is "partial 16S ribosomal RNA". It matches the Rfam family "Bacterial small subunit ribosomal RNA", at positions 28 to 526 of the family's 1533-position model. The record is from RNAcentral.
GACGAACGCUGGCGGCGUGCCUAAUACAUGCAAGUCGAGCGAAUCGGCGGAUGGGUGAGUAACGCGUGGGUAACCUGCACUUAAGUCUGGGAUACCAUUUGGAAACAGAUGCUAUUACCGGAUCCUAAAGGAUGGACCUGGGAUGAAUUAGCUAGUUGGUAAGGUAACGGCUUACCAAGGCGAUGAUGCAUAGCCGGUUUGAGAGACUGAUCGGCCACAUUGGGACUGAGACACGGCCCAGACUCCUACGGGAGGCAGCAGUAGGGAAUCUUCCACAAUGGACGAAAGUCUGAUGGAGCAACGCCGCGUGAGUGAAGAAGGUUUUCGGAUCGUAAAACUCUUUUGUUAGAGAAGCGGUAUCUAACCAGAAAGCCACGGCUAACUACGUGCCAGCCGCCGCGGUAAUAC